UACGUAGGUGGCAAGCGUUAUCCGGAAUUAUUGGGCGUAAAGCGCGCGUAGGCGGUUCGUUAAGUCUGAUGUGAAAGCCCCCGGCUCAACCGGGGAGGGUCAUUGGAAACUGGCGGACUUGAGUGCAGAAGAGGAGAGUGGAAUUCCAUGUGUAGCGGUGAAAUGCGCAGAGAUAUGGAGGAACACCAGUGGCGAAGGCGGCUCUCUGGUCUGCAACUGACGCUGAGGUGCGAAAGCGUGGGGAUCAAACAGGAUUAGAUACCCUCGUAGUCC
Molecule: ribosomal RNA, 273 nt
Filed under: uncultured bacterium
Lineage: Bacteria
Description: partial 16S ribosomal RNA
Rfam family: Bacterial small subunit ribosomal RNA
Source: RNAcentral